This is a long non-coding RNA of Cryptomeria japonica (Japanese cedar), 2555 nucleotides long. RefSeq lists it as uncharacterized. The transcript is spliced from 4 exons. Lineage: Eukaryota; Viridiplantae; Streptophyta; Pinopsida; Cupressales; Cupressaceae. The record is from RefSeq and is a predicted model, not a curated record.
AUGGUAAUGAAUAGUUCUGAAUAUAUGUUAAUGAAUAUUUUUGAAUAUAUGUUAAUUAAUUUUCCUGAGAACAUGUUAAUGAAUAUUUUUUGAAUAUAUGUUACCGAAUACAUGUUAAUAUAGGAAUAUGUAAAUGUAGAUUAUGGAAUGAAAAUGAUAAUGAAUUGUAGAAUGUAAUAUGAAUGAUGUGGCUAUAUGAUGGAGGGUAUUGGGAAGAAAUUCCCUUAGUCUAAUGCAGGGGUUAUGAUAAUCCCUGGUAGGCAGUAUAUACUGAGUAUCUAUAUGCAUAUAUGUAUGGCUUGGGUGACAAAGGGUCAUCCAAGAAGAGACGGAUCUGGCCGGUCCUCUCUGGUAGACUUGGAUGAUGAGAUGCAUCAUCCAAGGCAAGGAAUUGAUCAUAUAUGAUGGUCUUCCUUGGUAUGGCUUGGGUGUAAGAAAUUACAUCCAAGACAGGAAUCGAAUUAACCUUCGAUUUCCUGGUAUGGCUUGGGUGUAAGAAAUUACAUCCAAGACAGGAAUCGAAUUAACCUUCUCAUUCCUGGUAUGGCUUGGAACCAAGAUGGGUUCCAAGAAGGCGAGCUUCACAGCCGCCUAAGGACAUGUCCCAGUACUACACUCGUAUCCUUUUUAUUAAAUAAGAAUUGAGAUUAGUUUUAAUUGAGUAAUUGAAGUUUAAUUGCAAAUUAGAUUAGUUAUAUAUAUAUAUUUGUUGUAUUCUAACAAUCUGUUUUGCAAGACAAUGAUCUCUAACUAGUAGGGACAUUACAGAGAAGCAUGAACAAGCAAGGAUAGUGGCAUCAAAAUUUUGGUUUUACAAUAAUAUACCUUUCAAUGUGGCAAACAAUGUGUAUUGGGAAGGUUUGGUUAAUGCAUUAACAGUUGCAGGUAAGAGAUUUAAGGCCCCAACAGGUCAUGACUUUAGGGGGCCAUUGCUAGAGCAAGCUGUAAGAAAUACACAAAUUGUGGUUGAUGAUUAGAAAUUUUUUUGGAGGAGAAAAGGAUGCAACAUUUUAUCUGAUGGAUGGAAUAGGACUCUUCUCAACUUCUUGGUGGCUUCAAGUGGUUCAAUGGUAUUCCUAAAGUCUUUAGAUGGUGUAAUCUAUUGGAUGGGGUGAUUCAGGAAGUUGGAGUUAAGAAUGUUGUCCAAAUUAUCAUGGACUACGCAGCUGCAUAUGUAUCUACAAGUUGAAUGCUUAUGGAGAGGCAUCCUACGAUUACAUGGAGUCCUUGUGCUGCACAUUGCUUGGACUUGUUGUUAGAGGACAUUGGGAAGAUUGGAUGGGUGAAAAAGGUGGUUGAAGAUGCAAGAAGUGUCACCAAUUUCAUCUAUAACCAUACUUGGGUCCUUGCUUUGAUGAGAAAACACACAAUGGCAAGGACCUUGUGCGACCUGGAGUGACAUGAUUUGCUAGCCACUUCAUCACUUUGCAGAGCAUUCUUGGUGCCAUUCCUCAUCUUAAGCAAAUGUUUGUGUCUGAUGCUUGGUCGGAGUCUGCAUACUCCAAAGGACCUGAAGUAGAGAAGAUUGUAAGCAUUGUUUUUGAUGAAGGGUUCACCAAAAGUGGAGAGGAGUUGACUGCGAUAAGUGAUAAAACCUUUGGUAAGGGUUCUUCGUAUGGUGGAUGGAGAGGGCAUGCCAAUGGGUUUCAUUUAUGAGGCCAUGGAUAGGGCCAAAGAGGCCAUUUCACAUUGCUAUCGUUGAAAUACAAGGAAAUGUGAAAUCCUUUGGUGCAUCAUUGAUCGUAGGUGGACAAACCAACUCAGCCAACUGAUACAUGCCUUCAUCUACUUCUUGUACCUGAAAUUCUACUUUUCUGAUUCAUUUAGGGCUGAUGAGGAGGUCAUGUCAGGUGUUGUUGCAUGCAUUGAUAAGAUGGCACUUGAUCCUGAUUUGAGAGACAGGGUUCCUGAUGAGUUGGAGAUCUACAAGAGUGCAAAGGGGAGACUCUUCUAUUCACAACAAGCAAUUGAUAGGAUACGAAAACAACAACCAGCCAUGCAGUGCUUCUGGUUGUGAACGGAAUUGGAGUUUAUUUGAGAGCAUUCACACAAAGAAGAAAUUAGAUUGACACAAAAGCGCCUCAGUGAUCUUGUCUUCGUUCGGUACAACCUUCGCCUUUGAGUUGAAAGGUGGAGGGUGCUUCACACGAGGCCAUUGACUUGGAUGAAAUUGAUCCAUAUGGUGAUUGGACCGUCAAUGAACAAAAUGAUGGUGAUGAUGUCCUCUUUACCGAAGAAGAACUUGCAGAAAUAGAGAGAGGAGCAUAACAAGAAGCAGAAGAAGCAAGAUUGGAUGAAAUGGAGGAGGAUUAAGAUGAGGACGAAAAUGAGGACUUUGAUUUAGAAGAAGAAUCAUCUCACCAUUUAGAUACCUCAACACCUAUUGCUACUACUACUAGCUGAAGGCCUCAAAAAUUGAGCUAUAUUAGGAGAACAAAGAGAAAGAUGUAGCCUUCUCUUUAGUUUGUUCAUUGUUGUUAUUCACAUUUGGACAUAUGAUUAUAUGUAAUUUUGUAAACAUUUAUAAACUUAUGCUGCUAUUAUACAUUUUAAAG